UGAUGAUUUCAAUCCUUUGAAUGUUCUUCGAUCGCAGCCUUUUGGCUGUCAUGAGAAGCUUUAUUGAUGAACCCUUUAACUCUGAG
Leishmania braziliensis MHOM/BR/75/M2904 is the source of this 86-nucleotide small nucleolar RNA. Lineage: Eukaryota; Euglenozoa; Kinetoplastea; Trypanosomatida; Trypanosomatidae. The record is from RefSeq and is a predicted model, not a curated record.